GAUGAACGCUGGCGGCGUGCCUAAUACAUGCAAGUCGAGCGAACAGACGAGGAGCUUGCUCCUCUGACGUUAGCGGCGGACGGGUGAGUAACACGUGGAUAACCUACCUAUAAGACUGGGAUAACUUCGGGAAACCGGAGCUAAUACCGGAUAAUAUAUUGAACCGCAUGGUUCAAUAGUGAAAGACGGUUUUGCUGUCACUUAUAGAUGGAUCCGCGCCGCAUUAGCUAGUUGGUAAAGUAACGGCUUACCAAGGCAACGAUGCGUAGCCGACCUGAGAGGGUGAUCGGCCACACUGGAACUGAGACACGGUCCAGACUCCUACGGGAGGCAGCAGUAGGGAAUCUUCCGCAAUGGGCGAAAGCCUGACGGAGCAACGCCGCGUGAGUGAUGAAGGUCUUCGGAUCGUAAAACUUUGUUAUUAGGGAAGAACAAAUGUGUAAGUAACUAUGCACGUCUUGACGGUACCUAAUCAGAAAGCCACGGCUAACUACGUGCCAGCAGCCGCGGUAAUA
RNAcentral lists this ribosomal RNA (515 nucleotides) under uncultured Staphylococcus sp. RNAcentral's name for it is "bacterial SSU rRNA". It matches the Rfam family "Bacterial small subunit ribosomal RNA", at positions 28 to 525 of the family's 1533-position model. Lineage: Bacteria; Bacillati; Bacillota; Bacilli; Caryophanales; Staphylococcaceae. The record is from RNAcentral.